RNAcentral lists this transfer RNA (64 nucleotides) under Candidatus Moranbacteria bacterium RBG_19FT_COMBO_42_6. RNAcentral describes it as "tRNA-Val". It matches the Rfam family "tRNA", at positions 5 to 66 of the family's 71-position model. Rfam says of the family: Transfer RNA (tRNA) molecules are approximately 80 nucleotides in length. The record is from RNAcentral. Lineage: Bacteria; Candidatus Moraniibacteriota.
GCUUAGCUCAAUGGCUAGAGCAUCUCGUUUACACCGAGGGGGUUGGGGGUUCGAGUCCCUCAGC